GUAAGCAUAUUUUUCUGCCCUGGCUCCCUUUCUACUGAAUGGAGAUGAUAUUAAUAGGAUACUUUAAAGCUAUGAUUUCCAAACUUCUGAUGGUGCAUACCUAUCAGAUACAAGAAAAUGAGUACCUACCCAAAUCAUUUAUUGAAUUCACAUACAUAUGUACAAUCACUGCACCGAUGUGCUGUUUACUGCAAACGUAUAACUUUCAAAGGAUGCGAUAAAACUAAAUAAUACAUUUACACUAUUUUCUUUUAACUGUAGAAAAUGUAUAUUCUUUUGCUCUCAUUCUAACUUGUGAUUGGAGUACAAGUAGUAAGGAGGAAUAUGCUUCACACACGUAAAUUACACACGUAAAUCACACACCAAAUGCUGAAAGAAAACAGCCAGUGAGCACCUCCUCUCCGCAUGCUUCACCGUGGGCACUCAGGUCACUUUUCAUGGUUGUCUGUGCCUGUCAGACGUACACAGGAAAGGAGGGGCAGGAAGAUGGGUGAGGGGAUCCGUCUGUACAGUGUUAAUAACGUCUGAUUUUCUUCUUUGAUCAAAAGAGAUAAAAAAAGUUGUAAUGGUUUCUUUCUGUAACCCAGUUAAUCAUUAUCGUGGGGGUGCAGUCACUGCUCCGUGUGCCUUCGUUAACACAAGAGCAGGCUCGGAUCCAAGUUUUGUGGAACUUGGGACUGUUACAACUUCUGGGGAAAGGAAACUCUUUAAGAAAAAGAGCACACACACAAAUCUUACUUUUGCAACUUCUUACAAACUCUGUGAUCCUAGCGGUCCUGGGUCCUCCCAGAGUGGCUCCCGGGGUGAUGGGAGAGGAUUCUGGGGGCGGGGGGCCCGGCACCCCCAGCAAGGAGGACGGCCUGCCUCCAGAUCCUUCUCUUCCUACAGGCCUGUCCUCGACGUCUGUCCCGUUUCUCUCUGCGGCUCUCACACGCCCCUCUGCUCGCCUGAACCCGUCCGCCCGGACGCCACGCGGGGCCGCCCAGGAGAACCCAGCGGCAGAAUUCUUUGAAACAAAGACCUAACCACGGACCUGCGGCUCCGAAGGCGGCCGAGGGACACGCCACGUUUACCCAGCAUGCCUCGGGCGGCCUCAGGACUGGCUGGCUGCGGCCACGUGACUGGGCCGCUCGUGAUCACGUCACGCGGCCGCGCACAAGCCCCGAUCUGCGGCUGCGCGGGGAGGGGCCCCAGAGGCGGGAAGGCCCGGGGGCUGCGGGCCGGUUGCUGGCCGGGCUGGCCUGGUCGCGGGAAGAGCUUGCCGCCUGCGUGGUUUGGGGACCGAUGCCCAUCCUGCUCGCGCGGCCUCGUCGUGCAGCCCGCGCCUGCGCCUGCCUUCCUUCCUUCCUUCCUGACAGGUAGGAGCGGAUUUGGGGGCGCAGGGAGCCAGGCGUGCUGGAAAGAUCCUAAAAGAAACCGGAGGAACCUUCUAGAAUGUGUGUCUGAAUGAGCUCUGGGAACACUGACCAUACGUGUUACACGUGAAUGGGUCCAGUGCGGAAGGAGGAAAGCCCAGCCAGGCCGCAGGAUUUAAGGAUUUUCAGCCUGUGGAUUAAGGAAGUAGAAGUCUUAAUUUUUAGAGCCGCUCUGUCAGGCACUUUACAGCUUCCUUUCUAAGUGCUAAGUGCCAUAAAUCUCUGGACGGCCGGUCUCCAAACUCACAUGUAAACGGUCCUGCACACGAGCAGCAAUGGCCACCGACACAAUUCACAGAUGCUCCCCCAGUGGAGGCCCAGGAUCCCAGGGAGAGGGCGAGAGCCCUGAGCUGCUGAACAAAUCCUCUGGUUGAGACGAAGGAUCUGUUUUCCACGCACCUGACUUGCUCACUCACUGAGGGCAUAGUUGGCCGAGGGUCCGCACAUCCAGCUGCUGUCUUUGACCUCUGCCUGUCCCGGGAAGUAGGCAGAAUGCGGUGAGUGGCCGUGACGUUCAGCUCCUCUCGCUGCGUUUCGACAGAGAGGACCUCAGAAUGAGGAGGAAAGUCGAGUACGUCAUUUGGAGAAAGGACACGGUCACACCGGAGACGUAGUGAGCCUACCCAGUUAGACGGGUAAGUGGGACAGCAGAGCGCAUGCACAGCGAGUAAAAGUACCUCCCGGGCCUGGCCAGUAGGAAGGGCCGGACAAGGUGCUGGAGACAGAGCGGAAGUGGACACCAUCUUCUGAGGAAUGUGUCCUCCCUCAAGCCGGGUGAGCCGUGUAGACCAGAUGUGACCAUCACGUGUGGACCAGACAUAACCAUCACUAGCUGACUCUCCCCUUCACACUUGGAUCUAGGAUAGCUGGCACCCGCUUGAAAAGUACAAGGAAGCUACUAGAAAGAUUAGAAGUCUUCGCACUUCCAUUUGGAACAUUUUUCAGGUAGCUAAGGGUGGUGAUGAUUCGUUUAUUUUGUCUUUAAAUUCCUGGUAGUUUAGAAAAAUUUGGGGAAACCUGGCAAACUAGUCACAAUCAAGUAGCGGGUGGACAAGCAUGUGGUGACAGUGCAGCCGUAAGGCCUGAAUUUUAAAAGUCGCCUCAUACUCAGCUGUGCGCACAGCCCUGUCCAGAGCCCUGGACAUCCAUUUAUGAGCACUGAGGUGCCAGGGUUACUCGUUUCUUCCCUUCUGCUCACGUGACUUUUCUUCAGCGAAGUGUAUGGAAUUGUAGUAAGGAAACAUCGAGUGGAUUACAGAAGCCGGAAGCAUUAGAAAGGAGCUCCCUACAAUGGGCACCGUUCUGCAUAAACACACACACACGACCGCUUCUGCACCCCAGAAGGAGGCCCCUCGUGGCUGGCGUGCUCUGGAACCCUGCUUCUGGAAGUUUCCCCAUCACGGAUCUGUCCGCAGCAGCGUUUCUGUGCGCCCCGGCUGGGCAGCCCAGCAUUGGGUUGGACCCGGACGUGUGGCACAGACAGUGUUUACGGCUCGAGGCGAGGUCUCUGGUAUGGCUGCGGCCACUUUGAGUCUGGGCCAUGACUGAUCUGAGAGCAGAAUUAAAAUCGCGGAUCCCCGGCCUGUCCGGAGGCCUGUCCUGGGCCUCCAGCCCGCCUGGGUGAGGGUGACGCCCUGGCCCACACAGUGGCCUCUGAGUCAAGAGGCAUGGCGGCCCCUUCGUCGUGGUUUCUAGCCCAGAUUUUCACCCGAAUUGAGCCGGUGCUCCCGUGUCUUCAUGAAGUGCACCUGUGUGGGGGGUGUGGCCGGCAGGCUCUCCCAGUGUGUCGCUGUGGUUGGUAGUGAACAGUCCCGGGGGCCUGUCCCCGCGUCGGUCCGUGGGUUGCCUCGCCUGGCCUGGCAGAGGUGCGGGAGAGCCCCAGCAAAGCCAGGCCGUCUGCGCAGUGCUCUCGGGAUUUGUUGGACUCAGCCCGUCAGAUCUGGACGUUGACGGGGGGUUUUAACUCCUAAGAGGUAACAGACGGUCCUGAAAAGGGUCCUGUGAACAAGCCUUCUGUACUGAGGUCCUGGUGCCAGCGGAGGUGGAGGGGACCCGGUAGCGAGGCGGGCUGAGGGUGUGAUGGCUGGGGGUCCCCUGCAGACAGAGUCCUCCAUCGGGGGCACUUACGGGCACAACCCUGCAUCAGGGACAGGUGAGGGCACAUCUCUCCAUCAUGGGCACCUGUGGGCCCGUCUCUCAGUUGGGAGCUGUGACUGGGGGUUCAGACGUGGGGUGACAUCUAUGUCCCUCUCUCCCAGGACCACACGUGUGGGAUCAUGCUCUGUGGUAGGUUUACUCAAAAUUUAGGGUUGCAUAGAUGGGAUUUCUCCUCCAUCUGGAAAUACCACGGACAGCACGAACACUAGAAACCUUUGUUAACCUAGUUUACUCGGAGAUACCAUUUUGUUGUAAAUGUUCCCAGUUUUAAACAGGCGGUCCUCUUCUGCAUUUGGGAGAAGGUUUAAGUUCGUAUGCGAACCAACCCCUGAACAAGUGCACGGCCCUGCUUGCUAAAGUGUGCGGCCCACGUGGUCCCCCCCCUCCCCCACACGCCGUGGAGACCUCCGCCAACAGGUAGUCUGUUCCCCGGGACACCAGCGGUCUGCCUUCUAGGGGGCGCCCCGGGGCAGGUGGUCCCUCUCGUCACCCGGCCGCCUGCCUGAAGGUCCUUUUGUGGUUGGGCACACGGCAGCCCUCAGAAAUCGGGUCCGCUUUCUUCCAGAUGUUUCAAUGCAGCACAGCUCAGCAGCGGCCCGCCUGCGGCCCCUCUGAGGACAUUCGGACUGAUGCCGUCACUAAUGUGGCUCCGAUCUAGGGCUGGGCCAACUCAAAAUAGCUUAACAUAUGGACGCCUCAU
Molecule: long non-coding RNA, 4272 nt
Organism: Herpailurus yagouaroundi (jaguarundi)
Lineage: Eukaryota; Metazoa; Chordata; Mammalia; Carnivora; Felidae
Exons: 4
Source: RefSeq, a predicted model, not a curated record